AUAGUCCUACGGGACGCAGCAGUGGGGAAUAUUGCACAAUGGGGGAAACCCUGAUGCAGCGACGCCGCGUGGGCGAGGAAGUACCUCGGUAUGUAAAGCCCUAUCAGCAGGGAAGAAACAGGACAGUACCUGACUAAGAAGCCCCGGCUAACUACGUGCCAGCAGCCGCGGUAAUACGUAGGGGGCAAGCGUUAUCCGGAUUCACUGGGCGUAAAGGGAGCGUAGACGGCUGUGCAAGUCUGGAGUGAAAGGCGGGGGCCCAACCCCCGGACUGCUCUGGAAACUGUAUGGCUGGAGUGCAGGAG
Molecule: ribosomal RNA, 305 nt
Filed under: uncultured bacterium
Lineage: Bacteria
Description: bacterial SSU rRNA
Rfam family: Bacterial small subunit ribosomal RNA
Source: RNAcentral